CGAUUACUACCGAUUCCGACUUCAUGUGGGCGGAUUGCAGCCCACAAUCUGAACUGAGGGGCCGUUUAAAGGAUUAGCUCCAUCUUGCGAUCUUGCUUCCCGUUGUCGGCUCCAUUGUAGGAUGUGUGUAGCCCUGGAUGUAAGGGUCGUGCUGACUUGACGUCAUCCUCUCCUUCCUCCCUGCAAAAAGCAGGGCAGUCUCUCGUGACACUUGUAACACGAGAUAAGGGUUGCGCUCGUUACCACACUUAAGUGGACGCCUCACGACACGAGCUGACGACAGCCAUGCAACACCUGUGUACCACUCUCUAAGAAGACUUAGUUUCCUAAGCCGUGCAGGUACAUGUCAAACCCAGGUAAGGUUUUUCGCUUUGUAUCGAAUUAAACCACAUGCUCCACCGGUUGUGCGCUCCCCCGUCAAUUCCUUUGAGUUUUAAUCUUGCGAUCGUAGUCCCCAGGCGCCUUGCUUAACGCGUUAGCUUACAUCACU
RNAcentral lists this ribosomal RNA (490 nucleotides) under uncultured bacterium. RNAcentral describes it as "partial 16S ribosomal RNA". The record is from RNAcentral.